CAAAUAAAUGCUUGUAUUGAGAUAAAAACUGUGUCUUUAUUCUAAGAGUCGUUCCAAUCUAUGCAUCAACCCAUAUAUACAGGUAGAACAAACUAUCCACUGCUAAAUAAAUUAGUAAAUCAUUAUUCAACAACUAUUAUAUCAUAAACAAAAAGACAAAGAUAACAACCAAGUUCCCCCUACGGGCCCACCCCCCAAAAAAAUGCAGUUACUCCCCUAACAUCAAUGUCCAAGAAGAACUCUUGUUUGUGAGAUGAAAACUUACUCCAAA
This 271-nucleotide unclassified non-coding RNA is filed under the name Hevea brasiliensis (rubber tree). The record is from RNAcentral. Lineage: Eukaryota; Viridiplantae; Streptophyta; Magnoliopsida; Malpighiales; Euphorbiaceae.